Panthera leo (lion) is the source of this 107-nucleotide small nuclear RNA. NCBI's taxonomy places the organism in Eukaryota, Metazoa, Chordata, Mammalia, Carnivora, Felidae. The record is from Ensembl.
GUGCUCUCUUCAGCAGCACAUAUACUAAAUUUGGAACGAUACAGAGAAGAUUAGCGUGGCUCCUGUGCAAGGAUGACAUGCAAAUUCAUGAAGCGUUCCAUGUUUUU